RNAcentral lists this non-coding RNA (160 nucleotides) under Maricaulis virginensis. Its description in RNAcentral is "6S / SsrS RNA". It matches the Rfam family "6S / SsrS RNA". From Rfam's summary of the family: E. coli 6S RNA was the first non coding RNA to be sequenced, but its function was unknown until recently. It consists of 184 nucleotides that fold into an extended hairpin structure with a large single-stranded internal bulge. The 6S RNA specifically associates with RNA polymerase holoenzyme containing the sigma70 specificity factor. Lineage: Bacteria; Pseudomonadati; Pseudomonadota; Alphaproteobacteria; Maricaulales; Maricaulaceae. The record is from Rfam by way of RNAcentral. RNAcentral also lists the same sequence under 2 other names.
GGUUAUCUGCUGCGUGCGACAGGAGCGUUUAUCCCGCUGACCGUACAUCUCCACGAGGGAGCUGCCUCUGUUCGGGACCGUGGUCCCUUGCAAGCGGCGCCCACCUGAAUUGUCGGGUCCGUGGGGAUACACACGCACCACCGGCGCAAGUGGAGCCGUC